Pelobates cultripes (western spadefoot toad) is the source of this 486-nucleotide non-coding RNA. The record is from the annotation of a GenBank genome assembly. NCBI's taxonomy places the organism in Eukaryota, Metazoa, Chordata, Amphibia, Anura, Pelobatidae.
CAGGACUUUACUAUUAUAGCUGCUGGUAUCCUUACCUUCAGAAAUGAAGGUACUUUUCUAUGCUUUCAUCCACACAGUUAAUUUAUACAGUAUCUCACAAAAGUGAGUACACCCCUCACAUUAAUAUUUUCAUCUUUUUUUUUUUUUUCAUGUGACAACACUGAAGAAAUGACAGUCUGCUACAAUGUAAAGUAGUAAGUGUACAGAUUAUAUAACAGUGUAAAUUUGCUGUCCCCUCAAAAUAACUCAACACACAGCCAAUAAUGUCUAAACCGUUGGCAACAAAAGUGGAAAUGUCCAAUUUGGGCCCAAAGUGUCAAUAUUUUGUGUGGCCGCCAUUAUUUUCCAGCACUGCUUUAACCCUCAUGGGCAUGUAGUUCAUCAGAGCUUCACAGGUUGCCACAUGCUUAGUCUGCUUGUCUUCAGCAAAUUGUUUGCGGGCUUUCUUGUGCAACAUUGUUGUGGCUCCCGACCAGCCGCAUGCCG